This 844-nucleotide non-coding RNA is filed under the name Neoglyphidodon polyacanthus (multispine damselfish). Its description in RNAcentral is "partial small subunit ribosomal RNA". It matches the Rfam family "Bacterial small subunit ribosomal RNA". The record is from RNAcentral. Lineage: Eukaryota; Metazoa; Chordata; Actinopteri; Pomacentridae.
CAAAGGCUUGGUCCUGACUUUACUAUCAGCUCUAGCUAAACUUACACAUGCAAGUAUCCGCACCCCUGUGAGAAUGCCCCCCAGUCUCCCGCCCGGAAACAAGGAGCCGGUAUCAGGCACGGUCUACACCAGCCCAUGACACCUUGCUUAGCCACACCCUCAAGGGAUAUCAGCAGUGAUAAACAUUAAGCCAUGAGUGAAAACUUGACUUAGUUAAAGCUUAGAGGGCCGGUAAAACUCGUGCCAGCCACCGCGGUUAUACGAGAGGCCCAAGUUGACAGACAACGGCGUAAAGAGUGGUUAGGGAAACUUUCAAACUAAAGCCGAACAUCCUCAAAGCUGUUUAACGCUUCCGAGUUAAGAAGCCCCACUACGAAAGUGGCUUUACCUCACCUGACCCCACGAAAGCUGUGGAACAAACUGGGAUUAGAUACCCCACUAUGCUCAGCCCUAAAAUUUGAUAGGCCUCUACGCCCCUAUCCGCCCGGGUACUACGAGCAUUAGCUUGAAACCCAAAGGACUUGGCGGUGCUUCACAUCCGUCUAGAGGAGCCUGUUCUAGAACCGAUAACCCCCGUUAAACCUCACCCUCCCUUGUUAAUACCGCCUAUAUACCGCCGUCGUCAGCCUACCCUGUGAAGGCCCAGAAGUGAGCAAGAUUGGUAAAACCCAAAACGUCAGGUCGAGGUGUAGUGUAUGGAAGGGGAAGAAAUGGGCUACAUUUCCUAACCCAGGAAAUACGAAUAAUGAACUGAAAUAAGCAUUAGAAGGUGGAUUUAGCAGUAAGCAGAAAAACAGAGUGUUUCGCUGAAGAUAUGGCAAUAAAGCACGCACACAUCGCCCGU